RNAcentral lists this ribosomal RNA (429 nucleotides) under Gemmatimonadota bacterium. RNAcentral's name for it is "Gemmatimonadetes bacterium partial 16S ribosomal RNA". It matches the Rfam family "Bacterial small subunit ribosomal RNA", at positions 355 to 776 of the family's 1533-position model. The record is from RNAcentral. Lineage: Bacteria; Pseudomonadati; Gemmatimonadota.
UAGGGAAUCUUCGGCAAUGGACGAAAGUCUGACCGAGCAACGCCGCGUGAGUGAAGAAGGUUUUCGGAUCGUAAAACUCUGUUGUUAGAGAAGAACAAGGACGUUAGUAACUGAACGUCCCCUGACGGUAUCUAACCAGAAAGCCACGGCUAACUACGUGCCAGCAGCCGCGGUAAUACGUAGGUGGCAAGCGUUGUCCGGACUUAUUGGGCGUAAAGCGAGCGCAGGCGGUUUCUUAAGUCUGAUGUGAAAGCCCCCGGCUCAACCGGGGAGGGUCAUUGGAAACUGGGGGACUUGAGUGCAGAAGAGGAGAGUGGAAUUCCAUGUGUAGCGGUGAAAUGCGUAGAUAUAUGGAGGAACACCAGUGGCGAAGGCGGCUCUCUGGUCUGUAACUGACGCUGAGGCUCGAAAGCGUGGGGAGCAAACAGG